CCUACGGGUGGCAGCAGUGAGGAAUAUUGGUCAAUGGGCGCGAGCCUGAUCCAGCCAAGUAGCGUGAAGGAUGACUGCCCUACGGGUUGUAAACUUUUUUUAUAAAGGAAUAAAGAGAGGCACGUGUGCCUUUUUGUAUGUACUUUAUGAAUAAGGAUCGGCUAACUCCGUGCCAGCAGCCGCGGUAAUACGGAGGAUACGAGUGUUAUCCGGAUUGAUUGGGGUUAAAGGGAGCGUAGAUGGGUUGUUAAGUCAGUUGUGAAAGUUUGCGGCUCAACCGUAAAAUUGCAAUGGAUACUGGCAGUCUUGAGUACAGUUGAGGUAGGCGGAAUUCGUGGUGUAGCGGUGAAAUGCGUAGAUAUUAGGAAGAACACCGAUUGCGAAGGCAGCUUACUAAACUGCCACUGACAUUGAUGCUCGAAAGUGUGGGUAGCAAACAGGAUUAGAUACCCUAGUAGUC
Molecule: ribosomal RNA, 460 nt
Filed under: uncultured bacterium
Lineage: Bacteria
Description: partial 16S ribosomal RNA
Rfam family: Bacterial small subunit ribosomal RNA
Source: RNAcentral